Molecule: non-coding RNA, 10548 nt
Organism: Vicugna pacos (alpaca)
Lineage: Eukaryota; Metazoa; Chordata; Mammalia; Artiodactyla; Camelidae
Source: RefSeq, a predicted model, not a curated record
UACAUAAAAUAUGUCAAAAUAUUGAUAAUUUCUGAAGCUAGGUGAUGGGUAUACUGGUCUCUCUACUUAAAUAUAUGGCUGGAAUUUCCCAUAAUAAAAUUUGUCAUUAAAAAAAAAUCUCCUUUCCCUUCUUCAGGAGACACAUGGCCUCAGAAAACCCAGCCACCUCCUAUAUGUCAGUGACUAUUACCCUGGGGCAUCAGUGAGCCUGUCCUUGAUGGGUUAACCACAGACACUGCUUCCCACCCCACACUGACUUUUACAGUCUCUUUCUCCCAUUAUACACCACAAAUAGCUAUUACUUACCGGGUCCUUAUUAUACGCCAGGCACACGUGGCUUCUUUAAUUUUCAUGACAACCCAUGAGACAACGGGGUGGGCGCUAGUCCACACCCUCAGGUGAGGGUACUGAGGAACAGAGUUCUGUAGCUAGAAAGUAGUAGGGCUGGGGUUCUCAUUUCAAAGUGCCUGUCCCUAGUCACUGUAUUCCUUACCUACCCAAAAACUGCAAAGAAUCAUGAUUUCACAGCGAGUAAGGCAGACCGUUAAGAAUGAGAGAAAUAGUGUAAAGGAUCUCUCAGGAUCCUGGGCACUAAGGUGAACCUAUAUCCCAGAUUUCCCGAGGCACUGUGGUCUCAAAUAUUCUGACACUCUACCCUCUCCAUAAGCACAGACAUUUAUCACGUGUCCUGACUUUUGUUUAAAAAACAGGGUCAGUAGACCUGUAGGGAAAGGCCCAACAAUUAAACCACUGAUGGGCCUGGUGACGGAGUCUUUCGGUUCUGGGCUGCUCAGAACACUGGGCACAUGACCUCAGCCCUGCUCUCCCUCCCGGAACUGUCAUCUCAAACAAUCUGACAUUGUGACCUCCCAGCAAUCCCCACCUCAAAAGACUGGGACCAACUGGAACGAGCAGGAAGACAAAAGACAAAAACAAAACAUGACCUUCUCUGAGUUGAGAUCACAGCUGGAAAGACAAAACAGAAUCUUGUGGGGCCUCCAGAGAGGACCCAGAGGCUUCAUGUUUGGUUUUCUUUGUCCUUUACGUGGAUUUUACUUUCCUUGCAGAUCCAAAGCUAGGACCUGCGAGUUGUGCGACCUAGCCCAGGGCUAAGACUGAACAGUAAAAGCACCCAAGUAAAACCAAAGGGCAGGGGAAACGUAAUUCUUUUGUGUCCUUAAAAAAGCUUGGUGAAUUUUAAUUCCCUUGUAUCGACUGUCAAAGCCAUGGCUCAGAUUCCAUGGGGAGAAUGGAAACCCAAAUUAUCCAAAUCUCCAGGGACUUUGGAAAUGAAAGCAUGUCAUUGGUCUCUGCCUUGCUGUGAUACCUGGGGUUAUACUAGUCUGCAGGGAGUGCUCUCCCAAGUCCAGCAUCUUCAAGACAUCACGGUUUUGAACUCAUCAAUCGCCCUGCUUAAUCCUUUCCCUGCCCUGGGGAUGCUGGCAAGGGAGCUGGCACUGCUGCUAGGCUUGUAUCGGCAUGCAAGGGGAGCUAAAAGGUCUCUAAAUGGGAUCUGGAGCAAGUUGCCUGCUGCCAAGCCAAGGCCCAGAGGCUCUUCUGACAGAAGUACGUGGUGGAAGCUGCAGCUGUAAGACACGGGAUAUUAAGGGAAGAUACCAGCAGGUUGAACCUCAGCUGCUAAGUCACCUUGUACUUGUACCUCGCAUAAAGAUGUAGAAGAAUGAGCAGAAAUGAACUUGCAGAAUGGUUCUUAACUUUUCAAAGCAUUGCUUUGACAGGUGUUAUUUCUCUUGUUACCCUCUCACUAUCCCUGAGAUUGAGGACAAGUGAUAUAAUUCACAAUGACCAGACAAGAAAGCUCGUCCCAUCUGUGACUUGAUUAGAGAAACAGAACCAAGUAGGUCAGACCUGGGCCAAGAUCCCUGAUCUGCCAACAUCUAAAACUGUCCUCUUUCCAUUAGAUGCUUCAGUAAUGGUGGUGCUACCAGGCUAGCCUAACACAGAUACAGCAUUGAUGUGGUGUUGAUGGAGAAAUGAUAAAAAGGAUGUGAGCUGGGGACACACUCCAGCUCAAUUGUUGGUUUCAUUUUUCAUCUGGAAAGCUUCAAACACACAUUAGUAGGGAGAACAGUACAAUAAAUCCCCAUGUGCCCUCCACCGGCUACAAUGAUUACCAGCUCAUAGCCAGUUCUCUCUUUUCUUUUUUUUUUCCUUCAUAGCCAGUUCUCUUGAUGUCCACUAGUGCCCAGCAUGCUAAACUGCUUGGCAACAAAGAGUCAAAUGACUGGCUUGGCCUUGGCACCUGCUUUGGAACUCCCUGAGCCCUCCAGCAUCCUGGACUGACGUGGCCACAAGGGCCAGUAGAGAUACGCUUCCGAGGCAAGGGCUGUAGGUAGGCUGGUGGUGAAAAGAAGGCACAGGCAGUCAUUAGGUGACUUCCUGUCUCAGAGAAAACACAAACUUGACCUGGGAUAGCUCUGGCAAGUUUAGGGAUUGGACUAGAAAUCGACAAAAUGCUGAGAUUAAAUUUAAUUCAACCAACUUCUGUUAAGUGCAAGGCUGUGGCUUGUGAGGCUCAGGUCUCCACUCUGAAUGUCCUGGAACUUUCCUGCAGAGGGGGCCAAUCAAUCCAAGUGCCUAAAAGAAAGAGGUCUGAGGUCGCUACAGGAGGCAUCAGAAGGUAACAGGGACUUUGUUCCGGGUACAAUUUCCACCAGGCUCUCAUAUGGCAUUUAACUAUGGCUCACUCCCUGAAUAUGAGCACCUUUUGUGAUUUCCACUUGCGGAUCAUAGGCUACCACCAUCUUCUGAAAGUGCUCUGCUUGACUAGGCUGACCACUUGCCCAACUGUAGACAAGGAACAGCUCUGUGCCUCCUUUCUGAAGAUGGAGUCCGGGGGGUGGGGGAGGGGACACAGGGGGCACAGCUUCCUCUGAUCUCACACUGUCACCUGAUUAAGCUGACAGCAUGCAUUUUGCCUCUUUUGAGGGCUGAGUAAGCAUCACAUUUCACUACGCUGGGGAGGACAGGAAAAGGUGAGCGUGUCCCAGCCUUCCAGGAUCUAAAUACCAGAAGGAGCUGAGACAACCAGGAAUAGCAUCCCUUGAGACAAAACCAAUAAAGAGAAACAGCAGAGCGUAUACUUAAGAUCCAGAAUCCUGGUGCCAGACAGGCCUGGUUUUGAACACUACCUCAAGCACUAAUUAGUCCUGUGAUCAUCAACCGUUUGCUUAACUUCUCUGAGCCUCGGUUCCAUUUUGAAAUUGAGGGCAGUAAUACUUGAAAGGGAGAGCAAUAAUCUUGGGUUGAACCAUAAGAAACUGUCAACAUUUAACCAUUUCUUGACCUUCAAAAUUGGCAUUUCAUAGACCACGCUAUGUUGGAUUUUUUUGAAUUAAAGGAAAUAUUAUAAAAGCCUGGCACAUGGUAAGCACUCAAUAAAUGACAGUUACUAUCAACAAACAAAAGGCAAACCCACGGUGUUCUGUGCAUACAAAGAAAUGCGGCCCACAGAUAUGCUCACCAUCAGAUCCACCUCAGAGAGGAGGUCAGGGGAUUUUUAAAACUUAUUUUAUCUCUUUAUUUUUGAAUACUGAACAAAGGAGUAUAUGGUGCAAAGCAAGGCUUCUUCCCACCCUGUACUCCAACAAUAGUUCUCCCCAGAGGCAACCACUGUUACAGGGAUUUGUGUCUUUCAGAGAUGUUCAGUGCACAUACAAGCAUUCAUAUAUACAUUACACACAAAUGGUAGCAACUAUGCAUACUCUACUUAAUAUAACUCAGAGAGUUUCUUAUAUCGAUAUAUGUAUAUAUAUAUAUACACACAGAUAUAUAUGUGUAUAUAUACAUGUUAUAAAUAUACAUAUAUACAGGUAUAUAUACGUAUAUAUAUAUAUAUACCUGCCCCAUUUUCCCUCCAUGCUUUUUAAUAGCUUUAAUGUAUUCUAUUGUGUGGCUAUUACAUGAUUUCAUUUGAGCCCAUCUUGAUAGACUUUUGGAUUGUUUGAAAUCUUUUGCUAAAAUAAUGUUGCAAUGAAUAGCUAUCAUUUCAUGCACAUCAGAGUUUAUCUGAAGGCCAAAGUCCCAGAAAUUGAAUUGUAGGGCUAGAUCAUACAGAUUUUUAAAUGGCCAAAUAGUCCAAAUUGCCCUCCCCUGAGGCUAAUUCACACUCCAGCCAGCAACAAGUGCCUGUUUGCCUGUCACAGAGGUCUGUUUUGAAUUUGUUUUUGAAGAAGGGAGAGAUGGUUCAGCUGGGUCGGCCAGAGCAUGCAGGACAGUGGCUCAGCAGCCACCCCGCUGUGAAGUCACAUGUGGGAACCUGGCAUCUUAGCAUCAGUGUGUAGAAAGCACUCUUCAACCCACAAGGAGCAGAGUUCCACACACAGAAACACAACCUCAUAGAGGGAGGGGAAUAGUAAAGAGCGCUCCUCCCAGGAGCAAAGUGGGAGGUAUAAUCCCUCUUCUAUAGCUGGUGACUUCUGGAGAGGGCAGAGGGGAAGCCACAUUUUCUCAGCUCCGGUGUUAGUUUCAGUGAGUUUGGGACCACAGUGUGUAAGCCACCAUAGCCCAGCUCUGAGCAGGCUCCCUCAGCAGAUCAUGGGAAGGAAGGUGGUAGGUGGACAGUGGAUCACACCCCACAUUUGGAAUUUAGGGUGCUUCCGUUUUGAGUCUUGCCUCUUCCACUUUUCAGCUAUAUGACCUUGGGCAAAUCACAAUUUCUCUCAGUCCUAGUUUCGUCCGUUAUAGAAUGGGGACAAAACACUGGAAGUGAUGUUCUGUAAAAUGUCAAGUGAUGUUACCAUAUACACAGUGUCCGCGGCACAGAAGACCGUGCAAAAAAUUUAAUGAAGGAACAAACGACUUUUCCACUUAAAUUGUUAUUCAAGUGAUCUUUUACGCAGAGGUUUUAGCUGGAACUAAGGCUCCGUCCGGAAGUUUUAUGAGGUGUAUUCAUAGUAAAAGUUUAUAGAAGAGACGUCCCCUGGCAGGGACAAACCCAACAGAGAGCGGAUUCUACUCCCAGAUGAGGGACUUCAUUGCCUCUGCCACCUCUAUUAAGGCCGCCUGCGCCCCGGUGACCGAUUCCUCUCUAAGGCUCCUAGGACACAAAGCUCUUGGUGUCAUUCGGCGCCCAACUGGUUUUCUUUUCUGUUUGACUGAACUGCCCCUAGGAGUUAAGCUUAAUCCAUAAGGACCCCUAAGAGAGCCACCCAGAAAUCACAGAAGGGAUAACCCGAGAUGAGACGGGGACGGGAGCGGGAGGUGGGAGAGCGAGCGAGAGCUCAGGCAACGCAGUGGAAAGCUUGCAAGUUCGCUCCGAGGGCCCUUCCCGGGAGCAACUGGAUCGAGCCGGUCCCAAAUUCCGGAUCCUCCCUAGGAAGGCUACUUCUCGCCUCGCGGCGCGGGUCCCCCGAGCCCGACCCGCGGCUCCCGGCGCUCCCAGUCGCUGGAGUUCGUUUGCAGGCUCUCGGUCUAGGCCUGAACAGAAAGGCAGACGUCACCAGGGUCCAUUUCUCCAAGGAAGCUUUAGAAGUCUCACUCCAGGCGGUGGUAAAAGAGCCCCUGGCUGCACCCCAGUUUUGAAUCUGAUUCUCUGCAGGUGAAGUUGCCCAGCUAAUAAGCUCCCCAGAUCACUCCUCCCCAAACACAACUGCUGUUGUACUGUGUGAGGAAACAAAAUGUGGCAAGUGUGAUGGAUGAACUUGGGGCACAGGCUUCAGAACCAGACAUACCUACCGUUGAACCCAGCCUCUUCCCAGUGGGGGACAUGGGGAAGAACUGAUGCAGUUACCACCUGUUUCCCCACAAAUCAUGUGUCCAGAGCAGCUGUGGGCUCCAGAGCCAGAGAAAGCCGGGGAGGGGAGGGGCUCUGCAUUUGGAAAACAGAGAUCAGAAUGCUUAUCUUUGAGGGUGCUUGCAAAGGUGGAGAUAAAGGUAUAUGAUGGGCACCUAGUAAGUGUUCCUAGUUAAGGGAACUUGAAGGUAUAAAGGGAUAAAGGAAGACAUGCAAAGACUAGGGACCUGGAAACUAACUACUAAGAGAAAUAGAUAAAAGGAGGGCCUGGUGGAGAAGGAUUCCAAUGAGAAGGUAGGCAGUGAUUCCCCAUCUAGCCUCACGUCAUAAAAUCCUGGGGGUGCUUAUUAAAAAUAUGCAUUCAGGCCCUGGGCAUUGGGAGUGGCAGGCUCAAGGGUCUGUAUUUUCCUGCUUCUUAGGACCCAUUGGGUGCCUGGUAUUGACUGGUUUGUGAUGCAUCACAUGCCAACACUCCACUACAGCCCCAGAGGGGAACACGGGGUAGAACUGAUGUAAUGACAACAUAUGUCAAUGCAAAAUGAUCUGUCCAGUGCAGCUGUGGGCUCCCUAAGCAAGAGAGGGCCGGCGGGAGAGGAGAUGGCAGGGAUGGAGGAAGGGAAGCUGAGUUGGGAGCUGACGGAGCUCAGGGAAUGAGAACCUGGUAAACCCAGCCAUCUCACUGGGAUUCUAGAUCAUUUGAGAACUUGCAACAGCAUGGUUUGAAACCAGCUGUCUUAUGCCUCCAUCAGCUUCUAUAACAGGUGAAAAAAAUGGCUGCUCACAUCAAGGGGCAGGAGGAGCUAGACAGGGGACCAGCUCCAAGCAGCUGGCAGUUGCUAGAGCAGUCUGAGAGCCCCUUGGCUUCCCCUCUGAGCAGAUGCUUCUUCUGCCCGGAAGGGGCCUAGGGACUGGGUGGGUGGGGACCCACACAAAGGGCUGGGAGUAUCCUCUGCUUCAAGGUUACCGCAUUCCCUUGCAGGCCGCCUUCCAGGGUGUGGCCGCUGUAAGAGUGGGCCCACAAGCGCCCCAGAAUUCACAGAGAAGGGAAGGCGUGAAAUACCUGAAGGAAUGAGAAGACAGCCAUUGCAGCUCUUUCUCCAACCCCCGGUGGUUUAGAAUGAAACCAGUAGGUCUCCUUUGAUCAGUCAGAACUUUGCCUCCUUAUGCUUCUGGUCGUCAUGCUCAGGUUCAGGGUUUUUACGAGUGUCAGGACCCAUAUCCUACUGGGAGCUCCUGUUGCCAGCUCCCUUCUGUGAAGGAGGAUUAGUUCAGAUGACAAAGCCUGCCUUCCCUCUCAAAGUCCUGUGCACGACCCAGGACCUGCUAGGGCGUCGCAGGCUUUCUCUCAGCGCCAUCUGGUGGUGGGCAUGGCAUGUUUUCCUAAAGGGCCCGGUGCCCCUCAUUCCUACGCCCAGCCACACCUCGGACCGGAUCCGUUUUCCUCUGAUCUGACCACUGCAGGCUUUGGUCAUUUUGAAAAGUGGUAAUUAAUGAGGCUUUAAGCUUUGCCUAAAGUGGAGACUUUAAACUCUGUGUCUUUUGUCCCUGUUCAACUCUACAUAGUUUCAGGGAAGGGAAUUGGAGAAUUUAGUGGAGAGUUAAAAGACUAAGAUGAAGUAAGGAAAGAUGGAAAGAACAUUCUCCCCCACCCAGCUGUGAAUGCUUGGCUCCAGCAGUGCACAGACCAUCACCUUGGCACUUAUCCCAGGCACCUCUCACCCAGCCGUACCAUCAGAGCAGGGCACAGGAAGAAUCUCUUCUGCACAAAGUCCAGGUCGAGGAUUAAGAAUCAUCAGAGAAAGUGAUGGGACAUGGAUCUGGAACCAGACUGCUCCACUCCGAGCGCUGAGGGAACCCAUGUUCUGGGAGCUCUCCUCAUGCAGAAGCGAGCUUUGGAGUUUUCUGAGAGGUUGUAUGGACAGUCCACCUUUCCAGAAAGGAGUAUCCACAUUUCCAGGUUCUGAGUUUCCUGGUCCAGGUCAGGAAUAGGGAGCACUAGCCCCUUCCCUCUUACAGAGUGGGGUCCACCCAAAGGAAUCAGGUAGAACCAACAGACAGGUCUUGUAUGUGAGGGGAGGUCAGCGAUGGAGCAGAACGCACCUAUUCCUAGGAUGGAAAACAAACAGACAUUGCUGUGGGGGUGAUACGUGACUGCUGCUCCUUCCAGACACGUGUUGUCCCACUGGCCACUGGGAAACAUUCAGAUGGCUUCUGGAAUGGCCUGACCCUGAAAGCAGGAAUUUCCCUGCAGGGCCCAGGGUGUUGUGCUUCUGUGGACCCAGGAUCCCUGGAACAAAGACACUCAUGGUUCUUUUGGGAAGCAAAAUAUUCAUUCUGACUAUUCAGAAUGAGAAAUUUCCCUGAGUAUACUUGCCACUCAAGCCAGUAGAAGAGUAAUAUACAUUAUGUACACUAUGUAGUAAUGUAUCUAAGAUUGGAAACCAUUUAUAGAGGUGAGGAUCACUAAAAAUUUCCUAGGACCUUUUCCUUCACUCCAAUUUCCUGUUCUCACUGACAGAGUUUUAUGAUUCUUGUGCCUUUCCUUGAGCUACAUCAUUCAAUAUUUUUCUCAUUAUGGUUGAAGUGACUGUAUGGCCCCCAAUAUUUCCAGCAGCAGUAAUAACAAAUUUUAAAAAGAUACAACCUAAAUGCCCAUCAAUUGGGACCUAGUAUAUAAAUUAUUAUGAUUCAUCUAGAAAAUAAAGUACUAUGCAGCCAUUAAAUUUAUGGUGAAGAAUUAUUUUUAUUGACAUGGAAAGAUAUUCAUUACUUAAUGUCAAAUGAAACAAUUUCUAGAAGAGUAUGUAUAACAGGGUUUACUUUAUGUACAACUACAUAACUCUCUCUGUAUAUCUAUGUAUAUAAAUAGAGGUAGUUUUUUUCCCUAUACAUAAAUGGUGAUAUCUUGGGCUGUAGAAAUUUGGUGUAACGUUUUAGCUUCUGCUUUGUUCUUUUCUAUAUUAUGUGAAUGUUUUAAAAGGAGUAUGAAUCAUUUUUCUAAUAAAGCUAUUAAAAUGUUUUUAAAAUAUUGAUCUCAUCAGUAAAGUAGAAAGCUGAGAUGUGGGGAAGUCAACAACUAACUCAAUAAAGCCACAAUCUGCCAAAGAGGCAGAAUUUGCCCUCAUGACCUCCCAUCCUUCAAGUUUAAUGCCAUCUCACUGCCUCCAAUUGGUGAAGAUCGUGGGCAGGGAUAUAGCAAGUGGGGAGCUGGGGACCAAUGCUGAGAUCAGAGGGGACUCACAUGCUUUGGAUAAUUCCUGGAUCCUGUUACCUCUUCAGAGCAACCGAGCUCAGACCACAACGGCAUUACUGGAUUCCUAUUAUAUACUGUGUCCUUGUGGUCUGGUAGCUGUCCAGGUCUUGAAGGAACAGACACAAGUCUGGGGACAGAGUUAAGUUGGGUCUAGUUCUAAUCCAAGCCCAUUUUACAUCCUGCAAGGGAAAUGACAUAUUCCGCCAUGGUCUCCAGUUGAGGAAAGAAGGAAUGUGAUGCUAGUUCGGUGUAGUCCGGAGGCUUGAGUUUGUGAAGUUCUGGGCGGGGGGAGCAGCUUGGUGGGUGAUUUCAAGGAGAAAGUUUGGAGCCCCUCCUCCUCCUCCCCCUUCCUUCCCUCUACCCCUUCUCACUCCUCCACACCCACCCACAUUCAUCCACACAUCUUGACUGUAGCACCAGAGACCCUCGUGGCCCUUCCUUUGACAUUCGAGAGUUUGGGGCCAACAGCCAGCUUCAUUCAGCCUAGUGAACAGUAGCAGUUGGGACACGGGGUGGGACCCAAGGGACCCAGUGUCUUCUUACAACAUGAAUUUGGAUUUAAAUAGUAAAAGCUCCAGGAUAUGAUGUAGUGUUAAUCUCCCAUCAUGCAAAUGCCCAUAACAGCACUUACCAGGUCAAGACAAGGCCCCCGAGCAACCAGGCCCCUUCUCAGCCUGUGCACUCUGAACAGACCUGUAGUCCCAGGACAAUGCACUCAUCCUCUCUGUGGUCUUCCUUUGUGUCAUCGGGAACCCCACUCUUCUUCCUUCCCUGUUCCUAGACCCCUCUGCUACCUUCCCUGGGGAGGUCACCCCUCUAUACCUGGCAUUACUGCUCACAGAUAUGAAAGAAUCCACCAAAGAUGGAUUCCUAAGUCUGCAUCUUGUUGAAGGGCAUAAGAGAAAGCAAACCUUGACCUAAGCCGGGGGCAAGAAAGAGGGGCAAAGAGCCUUUUGACAGGAAGGAGUGUGUCAAUUUGCAAAUACUAGUCAAUUUUGAGCCAGUGCCUGAGAGUUUACUUUAAAAAUCAAGUGUGGUCGAGAUAAAGCCUAGCAUGGCAACUGCUCCAUCUGAGAACACAAAUUAUCACAGACCUUCCACGGCACAGGAGGUACAAAACUGCAGUCAUGAGGAGCAGGGGUAAUCCUUUGUCAGAGACUGUUGGGUAUUGUUCCCAUACCCACAUGUGUAGGUCACAGUCUUGUUACCUCCAUGACCCUAAUCCUUAGCACAGUGGAUGGUACAUUAAUGAUUGUUGAAUUGAAUAAUAACUUCCUUGAAGUCAGGAGUCCAGUCCUCACAACAGCACAGUAGUAGGGGAGAGAAGACAUUUAAAUACAUAACAUUAAUUAGCUAGCACUGAGACUCCUAGGACACCUCAACUAAACUAAAUCCCCAGACAAGAUGGAGUCCCUGAGAUCACUGACCUCUCAGACAUACGCAGCUUUUCCUGAAGGGGGCAGAGUUCUCCUAGAAGAGCCAGGACAAAGGGUAAAGAACUGAAACAGAUUUUAGCCGAUCCUUGGUGAUACAAUCUGGA